CCUACGGGCGGCAGCAGUGAGGAAUAUUGGUCAAUGGACGAGAGUCUGAACCAGCCAAGUAGCGUGAAGGAUGACUGCUCUAUGGGUUGUAAACUUCUUUUAUAAAGGAAUAAAACGAGGCACGUGUGCCUUUUUGCAUGUACUUUAUGAUUCAGGAUCGGCUAACUCCGUGCCAGCAGCCGCGGUAAUACGGAGGAUCCGAGCGUUAUCCGGAUUUAUUGGGUUUAAAGGGUGCGUAGAUGGGUUGAUAAGUCAGUUGUGAAAGUUUGCGGCUCAACCGUAGAAUUGCAAUUGAUACUGGCAGUCUUGAGUGCAGUUGAGGUAGGCGGAAUGCGUGGUGUAGCGGUGAAAUGCUUAGAUAUCACGAAGAACCCCGAUUGCGAAGGCAGCUUACUAAACUGUGACUGACAUUGAGGCUCGAAAGUGUGGGGAUCAAACAGGAUUAGAUACCCCAGUAGUC
RNAcentral lists this ribosomal RNA (460 nucleotides) under uncultured bacterium. Its description in RNAcentral is "partial 16S ribosomal RNA". It matches the Rfam family "Bacterial small subunit ribosomal RNA", at positions 338 to 795 of the family's 1533-position model. The record is from RNAcentral.